Ochotona princeps (American pika) is the source of this 107-nucleotide small nuclear RNA. Lineage: Eukaryota; Metazoa; Chordata; Mammalia; Lagomorpha; Ochotonidae. The record is from Ensembl.
GUGCUUGCUGCGGCAGCACAUAGACUGAAGUUUGAAUGACACAGAGAAGGUGGGCUUGGUCCCUGCACAGGGAUGACAUGUGGCUGUGUCAUCCCAGCAGCAUUUGU